RNAcentral lists this unclassified non-coding RNA (495 nucleotides) under Magallana dianbaiensis. RNAcentral's name for it is "ITS1-type A6". Lineage: Eukaryota; Metazoa; Mollusca; Bivalvia; Ostreida; Ostreidae. The record is from RNAcentral.
ACAAAACAGAAAAAAAGCAUCGGGCUCGUUGGCAGAGCACCGACCAAGGGCAAAACAAAACAAAAACACAGCCGAGGGGGUUGCUGCUGUUUCAGACAAGCAAAAAAAAGAAUGCCGGAUCGACGUCGAGCGACCAGGUCGCGAGGCCGAGGGAUCCAGGCGACUCGCGGGAGGGUUUUUCAACUCUCCUGCGCCUUGGGCCGUCGAAGCACCCAAAUUUUUGGUUGGGGGCUCCGUCGCCUUAAGUAAUGACGAGCUCGACCGCGACUCCGGGCUUACUUGGAACGGUGGGUCGCAAAAACAAAACAAAAGCACUCGGCAUCGUCGGGAGGUUGGCCUCGACGUUAUAAGCACCCGAGUAUGUACUUUCUCACGUAUACCGAUAGUUUGUUUCUUGAAAAAACAAAACCCGGGUGCGGAGAACCUGGGGGUCGGCCGGCGUACCUCGUUGCGCGCCGCGACCGACCGAAUUGGCAUCUAUUACUAUUAUUUUGA